Molecule: transfer RNA, 73 nt
Filed under: Marmota monax (woodchuck)
Lineage: Eukaryota; Metazoa; Chordata; Mammalia; Rodentia; Sciuridae
Description: tRNA.Ala
Source: RNAcentral
GGUUGUGGCUCAGUGGUAGAGUUCUCGCCUAGCACGGGUGAGGCACUGGGUUCAAUCCUCAGCAUAAAAAUCA